Molecule: ribosomal RNA, 593 nt
Filed under: uncultured bacterium
Lineage: Bacteria
Description: bacterial SSU rRNA
Rfam family: Bacterial small subunit ribosomal RNA
Source: RNAcentral
GCACGGGUGCGUAACGCGUGGGAAUCUGCCCUUUGCUUCGGAAUAACAGUUAGAAAUGACUGCUAAUACCGGAUGAUGUCGCAAGACCAAAGAUUUAUCGGCAAGGGAUGAGCCCGCGUAGGAUUAGGUAGUUGGUGGGGUAGAGGCUCACCAAGCCGACGAUCCUUAGCUGGUCUGAGAGGAUGAUCAGCCACACUGGGACUGAGACACGGCCCAGACUCCUACGGGAGGCAGCAGUGGGGAAUAUUGGACAAUGGGCGAAAGCCUGAUCCAGCAAUGCCGCGUGAGUGAUGAAGGCCUUAGGGUUGUAAAGCUCUUUUACCAGGGAUGAUAAUGACAGUACCUGGAGAAUAAGCUCCGGCUAACUCCGUGCCAGCAGCCGCGGUAAUACGGAGGGAGCUAGCGUUGUUCGGAAUUACUGGGCGUAAAGCGCACGUAGGCGGCCUGACAAGUCUGAUGUUGAAAUCUAUGGGCUCAACCCAUAGCCUUGGCAUCGGAAAACUGUCGGGCUUGAGUAUGGGAGAGGUUGAUUGGGAAUUUCCCGGGUGUAGCGGGUGGAAAUGCGUUAGGAUUUUCGGGAAGGGGAAACACCU